GUUCCAAGGCAAGUGCUUAAUGAAGAAAAACUGAAUGGUGACUGAAUGAACUGUUGAUCAGAAGCACGACCAGAGAACCAAAAAGUCACUGGUUAACUAAAGCAAACAAUGUAAUAAAUUGAUGGACCUAAUCCACUACUGUGUAUGUAAUAAAUGAAUGAAACCAGGAUUUGAAAUGGGUCCUUGGGAAAUAAGGAAAAACUGCUGUUGGACUUCAAUAUAAUGUAUUCCUGCUGCUGCUGCUAAGUUGCUUCAGUCGUGUCUGACUCUUUGCGACCCCAUAGAUGGCAGCCCACCAGGCUCCCCCGUCCCUGGGAUUCUCCAGGCAAGAACAAUGGAGUGGGCUGCCAUUUCCUUCUCCAAUGCAUGAAAGUGAAAAGUGAAAGGGAAGUCGCUCAGUCGUGUCUGACUCUUUGCGACCCCAUGGACUGCAGCCCAUCAGGCUCCUCUGUUCGUGGGACUUUCCAGGCAAGAGUACUGGAGUGGGGUGCCAUUGCCUUCUCCGAACGUAUUCCUAAGGUUUCUUCAAGAAAGGAAUAUUGCCCUGAAUUAUAAUCUUGAGUCUUUACAGAAGAUCGUGUAUCCCUGGAGGGAUAACAGCCGCACUAGGGAAACCCACUGUCUCUCCACAUGC
This is a long non-coding RNA of Bos taurus (domestic cattle), 634 nucleotides long. The record is from Ensembl. NCBI's taxonomy places the organism in Eukaryota, Metazoa, Chordata, Mammalia, Artiodactyla, Bovidae.